GAUGGUUGCUAUGGUUCAUUGGUGUUUUGUUAUUUCGUCAAACAGACCAAAAUCAGUAUUUUCAAAUCCUUCCACAAAUCAACUCGUUCUGAAAAGAGGCCAAAAAGAUUUCAAAACUUGAUUUAAUAAUUUUACACAUUGUACGGAACGGUACCUCAUAGGUUACGCUGAAAACAAUCUGAUUGGAGUGCGUGAAAAUGGACACUGUAAACAACAAGAUACCCUCGAACUCACUUACUACAACUAAUCUCUAUAACGGUUUGACUCUUCCGAAGCGUUUUGAAAACCCAUGGAUACGGAUGUCAAGCAGGAGAACAAAAUCCUAUCUACAGAACAUCGAACUCCGACUAUGGUUACUACCCACCGUGUCCACAUACGGUUCCGCAUGAAUACUUUCCGA
Topomyia yanbarensis is the source of this 400-nucleotide long non-coding RNA. RefSeq lists it as uncharacterized. NCBI's taxonomy places the organism in Eukaryota, Metazoa, Arthropoda, Insecta, Diptera, Culicidae. The record is from RefSeq and is a predicted model, not a curated record. The transcript has 3 exons.